UAAACUUCUUUUAUUAAGGACGAAAAAUGACGGUACUUAAUGAAUAAGCUCCGGCUAACUACGUGCCAGCAGCCGCGGUAAUACGUAGGGAGCAAGCGUUGUCCGGAUUUACUGGGUGUAAAGGGUGCGUAGGCGGCUUUGCAAGUCAGAUGUGAAAUCUAUGGGCUCAACCCAUAAACUGCAUUUGAAACUGUAGAGCUUGAGUGAAGUAGAGGCAGGCGGAAUUCCCCGUGUAGCGGUGAAAUGCGUAGAGAUGGGGAGGAACACCAGUGGCGAAGGCGGCCUGCUGGGCUUUAACUGACGCUGAGGCACGAAAGCGUGGGUAGCAAACAGGAUUAGAUACCCUAGUAGUCCACGCUGUAAACGAUGAUUACUAGGUGUGGGGGGUCUGACCCCUUCCGUGCCGGAGUUAACACAAUAAGUAAUCCACCUGGGGAGUACGGCCGCAAGGUUGAAACUCAAAGGAAUUGACGGGGGCCCGCACAAGCAGUGGAGUAUGUGGUUUAAUUCGAAGCGACGCGAAGAACCUUACCAGGUCUUGACAUCCAACUAACGAA
Molecule: ribosomal RNA, 557 nt
Filed under: uncultured bacterium
Lineage: Bacteria
Description: bacterial SSU rRNA
Rfam family: Bacterial small subunit ribosomal RNA
Source: RNAcentral